Molecule: long non-coding RNA, 2142 nt
Filed under: Rattus norvegicus (Norway rat)
Lineage: Eukaryota; Metazoa; Chordata; Mammalia; Rodentia; Muridae
Description: long non-coding RNA NONRATT017508
Source: RNAcentral
UUUAAUACUUUGGGACAUGUUAAUUUAUUCCUUCAGUGAGGUGGCUUGAAUAGGAAUGGCCCCCUCGGCCCAUACAUUUGGAUGCUUGUUCACAGUUGGUGGACUGUUGGGAAGGAGUAGGGGUGUGGCCUUGUUGGAGGAGGUGUGUCCCUAGGGGUGGCUUUUAAGGUUUGAAAGUCCUUGCCAGGGACAGUCAUCCCUCCAUCUCUGUUUCCUUUUUCUCUCUCUGCAGCCUGCGGAUCACGAUUUAAAGCUCUCAGCUACCCUUCUAGCACCAUGCCUGUCUGCCUGCCUGCAUGCUUCUCCUCAGGAUGCUAAUGGACUAACCCUCUGAAACUAAAAGCAAGCACCCAGUUGUAGCAGUAAAUAAUUAAAAUGGAUGCAGGGGUGGGUGGGGCACCAGGCACCAAGCCACACUGCCUCCUGCUCUUCUCUGUCCCCAGCGAUCUCUCCACCUCCAUGGCUAGCCCCAUGUUGGCACUGGCUCCUCUCUGGGCCCACCAGCAGCUGCCAUCCUGGGACUGUGCUGUGAACCCUGCUCACAAUCCCAGCAUCUGCCCCUGUGGCUACAGUCACAACUCCCAGUAGCCAGUUAAAAUCAAAACCCAAAGCUUGUAAUUUAGCAGUCAGAUUCAUAUCAGCAAAUUCUCAGUCCACAAAACGUCCACACAAUAAAGUCACAACCAAUUGGUAUUGAUGUAAACUGCCCACCUAGAUAAGACAAAUUGUCCUAUAUAAAUCUGUCCCUUAUGAAAUAUUCAUAGCUACCUUUGCCCGGUUAAAGCCACGCAGAUCUGGGUCGUCCUUCUCUGCCUUUUUCUUGGUUCUUCUACCUCCUCAUCUCUCCUGCCUUACAAAACCUCUGCCCCCGCCUUUCUUUUUUCACUGCCCAAUCACAGGUCUUGCCUUAUCUUGUACCUGCCCUCACCUGCAUAUAGACAUCAAUUAUACCCAGUGAGUGCUUUCUUUCCUUUAUAAGAGAGAGGGAGAGCGAGGGAGGGAGGGAGGAAGAGACUGGAGAGACUGACUUAGAUUGCACAGGAAUGGAAGUCUGUUCAGUUGGAGGCUGGCAGGUUGCAGAGACAGAGGCAGGGUGAGGGGACACCAGGACACUGAUUGGCAAUGAGUGGGAGGGAAAGCUCUCAACACUGUGUGAGAGAGACAGCUGUUUCCUGUUGGUUUUUUUUUUUCUCUUUUGGUACUAAUUAGAUUCCCCAAAGAUGGUUACAUUAUUAAAUUACAUCAUGCAAAUCAUAACCUGUCUCCUGCUCUACACUUGACUGCCAUGUUUGCUUAAUGGGAAUUAGGGAAACAGAUUACUUAAUUCCUGGGAAACUUGGGUUGAUAAGAAGGCUCAGUGGAUAAAGGCAAGUGUCACCAAACUUGAUCGUGAGUUCAAGCUCUUGGACCCACCACAUUCUGGGUAAUAACCCACCCUACAAUUGGUUAUCUGGCCUUACAAGUGCAACUGUGUGUCAAAUUCCUAAGAGAUAUAACACAGUUUUAAAUACUGAUAAAGGCAUCUUUAGAGAUGUCAUCUAUAUGAAUAUGUCAGUUGUACAAAAUAAAACAGUUAUUGAAGUUAGCUUGACAAUUUAGUCCUUUAAAUAAUAAACAUAACUUCUCAGAUUAACCACCUUAGUGUCGCUUCAGUGGCAGUAAAUACAUUCAUAUCUUUGUGUGACCAUCCCUACCAUCUGUCUGCCCAACUUCUUCACCUUGUAAAACUGAAACUCUGUACCCAGUUAACAGAAACUUCUCAUUUCAACCUUGGCAACCAGCACCUGGCAGCAUCUGGUGAUCCUUUUGUGUGAGCGUGUGAGCCUCCCAGCUGGCUGGUGUGCGCCACAGUGCUACAGUGGCCCGCCACUCCCCUUUGUUAAGACUGAGUAAUCACAACCUCGGCCACCCACGAGCUUCUUUUUUAAAUGACUAACUUUAGCCUUUGCCUUCUUGUCUCUGUGUGUACCAUGUGUGUGCAGUGCCUGUGGAAAAAACAGCUAGAAAUCCUCUAAGAGAAAUAUACACCUUUUGUUCCCCUUAAGUAUUUAAGCAAACCUUUGUUAAACAUUUACUUCUCUUUUUGAGUUUGUAUGUUUGUCCGUGAACCAUGUGUGUGUCCGGUCCUGGAGUUACAGAGGC